AGUGAACGCUGGCGGCGUGCCUAAUACAUGCAAGUCGAACGCUUCUUUUUCCACCGGAGCUUGCUCCACCGGAAAAAGAGGAGUGGCGAACGGGUGGGUAACACGUGGGUAACCUGCCCAUCAGAAGGGGAUAACACUUGGAAACAGGUGCUAAUACCGUAUAACAAUCAAAACCGCAUGGUUUUGAUUUGAAAGGCGCUUUCGGGGUUCGUUAAUGGAUGAACCCACGGUGCAUUAGCUAGUUGGUGAGGUAACGGCUCACCAAGGCCACGAUGCAUAGCCGACCUGAGAGGGUGAUCGGCCACAUUGGGGCUGAGACACGGCCCAAACUCCUACGGGAGGCAGCAGUAGGGAAUCUUCGGCAAUGGACGAAAGUCUGACCGAGCAACGCCGCGUGAGUGAAGAAGGUUUUCGGAUCGUAAAACUCUGUUGUUAGAGAAGAACAAGGAUGAGAGUAACUGUUCAUCCCUUGACGGUAUCUAACCAGAAAGCCACGGCUAACUACGUGCCAGCCGCCGCAGUAA
Molecule: ribosomal RNA, 524 nt
Filed under: uncultured bacterium
Lineage: Bacteria
Description: partial 16S ribosomal RNA
Rfam family: Bacterial small subunit ribosomal RNA
Source: RNAcentral